This 459-nucleotide ribosomal RNA is filed under the name uncultured bacterium. RNAcentral describes it as "partial 16S ribosomal RNA". It matches the Rfam family "Bacterial small subunit ribosomal RNA", at positions 338 to 795 of the family's 1533-position model. The record is from RNAcentral.
CCUACGGGUGGCAGCAGUGAGGAAUAUUGGUCAAUGGGCGCGAGCCUGAACCAGCCAAGUAGCGUGAAGGAUGACUGCCCUACGGGUUGUAAACCUCUUUUAUAAAGGAACAAAGAGCGGCACGCGUGCCUCUUCGAAUGUACUCGAUGAAUAAGCAUCGGCUAACUCCGUGCCAGCAGCCGCGGUAAUACGGAGGAUCCGAGCGUUAUCCGGAUUUAUUGGGUUUAAAGGGUGCGCAGGCGGAGCGUUAAGUCAGCGGUCAAAUUGAGAGGCUCAACCCCUUCCCGCCAUUGAAACUGCGGCUCUUGAGUGGGAGAGAAGUACGCGGAAUGCGUGGUGUAGCGGUGAAAUGCAUAGAUAUCACGCAGAACCCCGAUUGCGAAGGCAGCGUGCCGGCGUCCGACUGACGCUGAAGCACGAAAGCGUGGGGAUCGAACAGGAUUAGAUACCCGAGUAGUC